This 1692-nucleotide unclassified non-coding RNA is filed under the name Hevea brasiliensis (rubber tree). The record is from RNAcentral. Lineage: Eukaryota; Viridiplantae; Streptophyta; Magnoliopsida; Malpighiales; Euphorbiaceae.
GCCAUCUACAAGGAGUCAAUAGAGCUGCGUAUUUUUCUUUGUCCAACAAUAGAGCUCAACGAAGAAGCAAGAAAAUGAAAAUCAGUAUUUUGAAAUCCCAAUUUUACCUCCACGGAUGCAGCACUCUCAGCAACCCAACUGCAAACUUCUCAAUCAAAACCAAAUCCCAUCUCAAAUGUCCCACAACUAUACCAUCAAAACCAUUUUUGCCCACAAAAUUUCUUGUUAAAACCAUGCAUACAGAAAAGGACAUCAUCUUAAACGAGGAGCUUACUCAGGUUUCUCCAAAUGGUAAUUCUUCAAGGUUUGUGGUGGUGGGAGCUGUAUCAGUAGGAUUUCUGUUGUUUUUAAUGGGAAUGGAUGAGCAAUACAAGGCAUUGGCUUUGGGGCCUGAAGGUCCUCUGGUAGAAGAGUUUUGGGACAACGUGAGGAGAUAUGCACUUUAUGCACUCACAGUAAGCACUGGUGCCCUCUACACCAUCUUUCUGCCUAUAGUGGAAUUGCUUAAGAAUCCCAUUUCUGCUGUCCUCAUUCUUCUUAUCUUUGUUGGUAGUAUCUAUCUUGUUUCUCAGGUGCUAUCUGCCAUGGUUGGUGUCUCUGAUUUCACUUAUGAUUAUGGAUAUUAAAUUCAAGAUAUCUUUCUUUCUUCUUAUGUUUUCCCCCCUUUCAAUAAAUUCACGAGCAUAUGCAGAUUCUGAGCAAUUUCCAGCUUUACUCUUUAUUUUUGUGCAUAGAAAGAAUAAACUUAUCCUGUCAAGUAUGGACUUAGCCCAUAAACUUUUUGUCCUACUUAAGCCCCAACUAAUAUAUAGUUGAAUACCUCAGCCCCUAAAUGUAUUUCUUGUGCUAUUUUUAUUUUUAUUUAAUUUUUUCUCAUCUCUUCCCAUCUGAAUUUCUCAUUGACAUUCUCAUUAGUCAUUCCUAAGAUAUUAUAUCCAACUGAAUCAGUUCGUUUUCUUGGAAAUGUGGUGUAGGCAGGCAGUCGGAAACGUGGAAAUUAAUCCAAACAAAAUAAUAGAUUUAAUGGAGUACUUCUAAAAUCAAAUUUUUAUCUAAGUUGUGUUAAAGUCGCCUUUAAAAUUGUAAAAUCUCAAAUUUGUGUUUCGAUGGAAAUUCAUUGUAUUAAAAAAAAAUACUCUUAUUAUUGUAAAGAUUCAAAUUAUGAGAACACUGGAUAAAAUUUGCAGUUAAAAAUUUUUUAGAUGCUUUAAACCCAAAAUUAAUUAAUAAAAACUCCAUGUGUUAAAAAAUCUCCUUGACAAAAAAUUAGAUCUACUGAUUCAUUUGGCCAUUUCUCAUCUCAUCAAUGUCAUGUAUAAGUUUUAAAGACUAGAAACCAUAAGCAAAUAAAAGGUACUCAAAUAUUUUGCCAAUAAAUUACAAAUAAAUUUUGACUCAAUCAUUAGAGGCCCAAUCAUUAAAAAAAAAAAAAGAAAAAGAUAUCGAAGCAUAAGAAAACAAUAUUAAUAUAAUAUAGAAUCUUACAAAAGCUUUGAAGUAAUGAAGGAAUAUAGCCAGAGGGAGAAUGCGAGAGCAUAUUUAUAGCAGAAUUUGUCAAACUUUUAUAAUUAAUUAUUAGUAUUAUUUAGCCUCGGAAAAAUCUCUUCAGAAUUCAUCAAAUUCACCAUUGAAAAUUUUAAUUUUUAAGAAUGAUUUUCCUUUUCUAAUUAAUAACUUUUAAUUUGAAGAAAU